Molecule: long non-coding RNA, 3455 nt
Filed under: Canis lupus familiaris (dog)
Lineage: Eukaryota; Metazoa; Chordata; Mammalia; Carnivora; Canidae
Description: lncRNA (ENSCAFG00000055624.1)
Source: RNAcentral
UUUUUUUUUUUUUUUUUUUUUUCCUUUUUUCAAAGUAAUCUCUCCCCCUCAGUGGGGCUCAAACUCAUGACCAGGAGAUCAAGAUCUUUUGCAUGCUCCACCGACUGAGCCAGCUAGAUGCCCCAUACUGUUUCAUUUCUAACAGCAAAACUCCUUGAGAGCUGUUUAUCUUUGUCUCCAAUUUCUCUUCCACAAAGUUCAGCCACAUUAAGUGCCUAAUUCAAUGGUCUUUAGUAACUUUAUAGACUCCUGCAGCCAUUACCAUAAUCUAAUUUUAGAACAUUUUCAUCACCCCCCAAAAGGAACUCCACAUUCACUGGCAGUCACUUGCAUUCCUCACCCCGAACCCACCUCCAUGCCCUAGGCAACCACAAUCUAUGCUUUAUCUCCACAGAUUUGUCUCUUCUGGACAUUUCACAUAAAUGGAAUCAUGCAAUAUAUAUUUUUUUGUGACACAAAGUUCAUCUGUGUUGUUGCAUGUAUCAUUGGCUCAUUCCCUUUUACUUCCAAAUAAUAUUCCUCUGUAGGGAUAUAUUACAUUUGGUUUACACAUUUAUCAGUCGAUGGAUAUUUGGGAUGUUUCCAUUUUUUGGCUGUUGUGAAUAAUGCUAUAGACAUUCACAGACACGUUUCUGUGUGAACAGAAACUGUGUGUUAGAUGUGUCUUAGAUUCUCUGUGUGUUAGAUUCUCUCAGGUGGGCUUCUCUAGGAGUGGAGUUGCUGAGUCAUAUGGUGGUCCUGUUUAAUUUAAGAAACUGACAGGUGGUUUUCACAGCGCCUGUACCAUUUUAUAUUCCCAUUAGCAAAGUAGGAGGGUUCUGAUUUCCCUAUAUUGUCACCAACAUUUGUUAUCACCUGAUUUUGUUUAAAAAAGAUUUUAUUUGAGAGAGACAGUGAACAUGAGUAAGGUGAGGAGUAGAGGGAGAGGGAAAAGCAGACUCUGCUGAGCAGGGAGCCCAAGGCGAGGCUUGAUUCCAGGACCCUGGGAUCAUGACCUGAGCCCAAGGCAGAUGCUUAACCAACUAAGCCACUCAGGUGCCCCUCACCUGACUUUUUGAUUAUAGCCUCCCAGGGGGUGUGAAAUGGUAUCUCAUUGUGGCUUUGAUUUGCAUUUCUCUGAUGACUAGUGUUGCCUCCCACUGACUUUCAAAUCCAUGCCAAUCAGAUGGCUCCCAGCCAUGGCUCUUUGGAAAUGGCUCCAGUCAAGUUUAUCAGUGAUGUCCAUGUUGCUGAAACCAAUGGCCAAUUCUCAGGCCUCCUCUCUCAUGAUGCAGCAGCAUCUGACCAGCUGAUCACUCUCUUCUUGAAGUGCUUUCUUCAUUUGGCUUUCAGGGAUGCCACAGCUGCCUUCUCAGCUUCUCAUGGUUCAAAUGGCUUAACUUUGGAGAAACUUCCUCCUAUCCACUUCUCUUACGGAUUUACACUCAUUUCCUCUGUGCAUUCAGUGGCAUGGCUCUGAAACUUUUUUUUUAAAUUUUUUAUUUAUUUAUGAUAGUCACACAGAGAGAGAGAGAGGCAGAGAGACAUAGGCAGAGGGAGAAGCAGGCUCCAUGCACCGGGAGCCCGACGUGGGAUUCGAUCCCGGGUCUCCAGGAUCGCGUCCUGGGCCAAAGGCAGGCGCUAAACCGCUGCGCCACCCAGGGUUCCCAUGGCUCUGAAACUUGUAUCUUCAGAUCAGACCUCACUCCAGAAUUCCCGACUUGUAUACCCAAUUGCCUCCAAGUCACUUCCUCAUCACCAGACCCAACGCCUCAUCUGUCCUCCUCUUCCUCCCUCCUUGAAACCUUCCAAGAAAACUGCUCCUGCCACAGCAUCCGUUAUCUCAGUAAACAGAACUCUGACAUUCUAGCUGCUCACAUCAAAAAUGCUAGAACUGCACUGCACACAACAUAUCCCCUACCACAGAGGACUAUUUAAUUUUUUAAAUUCAUUCUUUGAUGAUGUCAAUCAGUCAUGAAACCAUUUACCAAGUAUGUACUGAAUUACACAUUUUGCCAGGUUUGCAAAUGCAGAAAUGAGUAAGAGGCAGCCCCUGCCUUCCAGGAGCUCCUUGUCAAGUAAACAAAGAGUGUGAUCCAGAGUUACACAAAGACACAUGCCUCUGUGAUUUCUAUUUUCACAGCUGAGGGACAACUUAAAUUAUUAAAGCUAUAAAAGAUUAUAAAUUUAGAUCCUCAGUUGCACUGGCCACAUCUGACCCACUUCAUGGCCACAGGUAGCUGGUAGCCACCACAAUGGACAGUACAUAUCUAGAACAUUGCCAUCAUGGCAGAGGAUUCUACUGGACCCUCUGCUGCCCUGACCAUGGACACUGCCCCUUCUCUUUUCUUCCUCUCACACCUAACAUUCCAAUCUAUCAGCGAACCCCACUGAUCCUACCUUCAGGACAGAUCUAGAGCUCCUCACUGUCAGGGGCACCUGGGAGGCUCAGUCAGUUAAGCAUCUGCUUUUGGCUAAGGUCGUGAUCCUGGGGUCCUGGGAUCGAGCCCCACAUUGGGCUUCCUGCUUGGUGGGGAGUCUGCUUCUCCCUCUCAUGCUCUGCUCUCUCUCAAAUAGAUAAAAUUUUUAAAAAAGAAAAAAAAAAAAAAACCAAAAACCCAAACUCGUCACUGUCACCACAGUUGUCCCUGAGCUGCAUCUCCUUCCCAAAUUAUAGCUGUCUAGAUUAUCACAGCACCUCAUAGUGGUUCCUGCCCCCUACAGUUCAUUGUCCAUGCAGUAGCCAUACAAAUCAAAUCAAAUCAUGACUUUCCUGGCCUCAAAAACUGCCCAUUACUCUCAUCUUAGAGGGAAAUCCAGACCUUACAGUGGCCAAGGUCCUGCACAUUCUCUCUGACUUCAUUGUGUACUCGUUUCCUAAAGUCCUGCUCCAGAUGCCUCCUGGCCACGUCUCCAAUAUUAGGUGCACUAGAGGGAUUUUGCCCUUGCCGUUUCUCAUUUGAUCCGUGUCUUAUUUUGUUUAAUUUUCUUUUUAUUGUCUGACCAUCCAUUACAAUCUAAACUCCACAGGCACCUGGCUAGCUCAGUCAGUUAAGCAUCUGACUCCUGAUUUCAUCUCAGGUCAUGAUUUCAGGGAUAUGAAAUUGAGCCCCAUGUCGGGCUCCACAAGAUUCUUUCUCUACCUCUGUGCACUAGCCCCUCAAAGAAUCUAAACUCCUUUAGGGAGCAGAUUUUUGUCUAUUGUGAUUUUUUUUUUAAAGAUUUUAUUUAUUUGUUCAUGAGAGACACACAGAGAGAGGCAGAGAUACAGGCAGAGAGAGGAGCAGGCUCCCCAUGGGACUCGAUCCCAGCACCCCGGGAUCACAACCGUAGCCAAAGGCAGACACACAACUACUGAACCAUCCCAGCACCCCAUCUGUUCUGAUUUCUUCACUGCUGUCUCUACAGUGCCUUGAAAAUGCCUGGCACAUAGAAGUACUCAGAAAAAAAAAAAAAAAAAAAAAAAAGAAGUACUC